Molecule: ribosomal RNA, 332 nt
Filed under: uncultured bacterium
Lineage: Bacteria
Description: bacterial SSU rRNA
Rfam family: Bacterial small subunit ribosomal RNA
Source: RNAcentral
UGCGCAGGCGGCCAUGUGUGUGAGGCGUGAAAGCCCGGGGCUUAACCCCGGAAUUGCACCUCAAACUACAUGGCUAGAGCAUUGGAGAGGGUAGCAGAAUUCACGGUGUAGCAGUGAAAUGCGUAGAUAUCGUGAGGAAUACCAGAGGCGAAGGCGGCUACCUGGACAAUUGCUGACGCUCAGGCACGAAAGCGUGGGGAGCAAAAGGGAUUAGAUACCCCUGUAGUCCACGCCCUAAACGGUGCACACUAGGUCUUGGCGGAUUCGACCCCCCCAGGGCCCAAGCUAACGCGUUAAGUGUGCCGCCUGAGGACUACGGCCGCAAGGCUAAA